Molecule: ribosomal RNA, 660 nt
Filed under: uncultured bacterium
Lineage: Bacteria
Description: bacterial SSU rRNA
Rfam family: Bacterial small subunit ribosomal RNA
Source: RNAcentral
GUNCACGCCGUAAACGAUGAGUGCUAGGUGUUAGGCCCUUUCCGGGGCUUAGUGCCGGAGCUAACGCAAUAAGCACUCCGCCUGGGGAGUACGACCGCAAGGUUGAAACUCAAAGGAAUUGACGGGGGCCCGCACAAGCGGUGGAGCAUGUGGUUUAAUUCGAAGCAACGCGAAGAACCUUACCAGGUCUUGACAUCCCGAUGCUAUUCUUAGAGAUAGGAAGUUACUUCGGUACAUCGGAGACAGGUGGUGCAUGGUUGUCGUCAGCUCGUGUCGUGAGAUGUUGGGUUAAGUCCCGCAACGAGCGCAACCCUUAUUGUUAGUUGCCAUCAUUAAGUUGGGCACUCUAGCGAGACUGCCGGUAAUAAACCGGAGGAAGGUGGGGAUGACGUCAAAUCAUCAUGCCCCUUAUGACCUGGGCUACACACGUGCUACAAUGGUCGGUACAACGAGUUGCGAGCCGGUGACGGCAAGCUAAUCUCUGAAAGCCGAUCUCAGUUCGGAUUGGAGGCUGCAACUCGCCUCCAUGAAGUCGGAAUCGCUAGUAAUCGCGGAUCAGCACGCCGCGGUGAAUACGUUCCCGGGCCUUGUACACACCGCCCGUCACACCACGAGAGUUUGUAACACCCGAAGUCGGUGAGGUAACCUUUUAGGGGCCAG